GGGAACCAACCACAGUAGACAUAGCACACUUCAUCAAAGAUGCACCAGAUGCAGCGGCACUGUCUCCAUCACUGGUGAAAUGGGAUAUGAUUAGUGGACGGUCAUCACUUAGUAACUCACCAACACAAUUAGUGGCCCAUCUCUUCUCAUCUCCAAUGGUGGUCUCAGGAGGAAUGGUUGCAGUGCAGUCUUCAUGUCCUGGACAGGUCUGUUGCAUGUUGGCGGCUGAUGCUGGUUCAAUAUUUGCACCAAGAAACAUGCCACGCAUACCGUCUGUUGUAAGACUGAUACCCAAGUGACCGACAGCCACGACCACAUUCAGCU
Long non-coding RNA from Saccostrea cuccullata (small rock oyster), 324 nucleotides. RefSeq lists it as uncharacterized. The record is from RefSeq and is a predicted model, not a curated record. The transcript has 3 exons. Lineage: Eukaryota; Metazoa; Mollusca; Bivalvia; Ostreida; Ostreidae.